UACGUAGGGGGCAAGCGUUGUCCGGAAUCAUUGGGCGUAAAGAGCGCGUAGGCGGCCCAGUAAGUCCGCUCUGAAAGUCAGGGGCUCAACCCCUGGAUGCGGGUGGAUACUGCUGGGCUAGAGUCCGGAAGAGGUGAGUGGAAUUCCUGGUGUAGCGGUGAAAUGCGCAGAUAUCAGGAGGAACACCGAUGGCGAAGGCAGCUCACUGGGACGGUACUGACGCUGAGAAGCGAAAGCAUGGGGAGCGAACAGG
Molecule: ribosomal RNA, 253 nt
Filed under: uncultured bacterium
Lineage: Bacteria
Description: partial 16S ribosomal RNA
Rfam family: Bacterial small subunit ribosomal RNA
Source: RNAcentral